UUGAGUGCAGUAGUAACAUUGGAAUUAAAUCUUGGCCUUGACUGAAUGGCAUUCUAGCCUAUUACAGAAUUAGAAGAAAUAAACAAUAAUGAACAGCUAAUAUGUUUCUGUAUGAAGAUGAAUGCCUUGUUACUUCAGAAUGGCAAGUACUAAAAUCAUGAUAGAUUCAGCCUUAAUCAUUUGCGUCGUAAUUUUUCUUUCCAACAUCUUUGUACUGUAAUGCAGUUGCAAGAGAGGCAGAAUUUGAGUUUUGGGGUUUCAUAUUCGUUAUGCUUGCUGCUGUCAUGUCUGGGUUUCGGUGGACAAUGACACAAAUACUUCUCCAAGUAUAAGCUGCAUUAUACCUGACUCAACUGAUUCAGUCUUGGUGUCUGAAUAAUUUUGUUCUUGUUUAUGUUUUAUUACCUAUAUAUGCUCUCAUGGUUGUGUUCCUUUCUUUUGUUUUUUAACAAUUGGUACAUGAUGAUAUCAAAAAUGGAAUGAAGAAAGAAACCUAUGGUCUUAAAAAUCCACUUACUUUGAUGAGCUAUGUGACCCCUAUAAUGGCAAUUGCAACUGGUGUUCUUUCUUUGAUGCUGGAUCCAUGACAUGAAUUGAGAAAGAACGAUUACUUUAAUAGCUCAUCGCAUAUUCUGAGAAGUAGUUUGCUAAUGUUGUUUGGUGGCACUCUGGCUUUCUUCAUGGUAUUAACAGAAUAUGUUCUUGUGUCUGUAACAAGUGCAGUAACAGUUACAAUAGCAGGGGUUGUGAAGGAAGCUGUUA
This is a long non-coding RNA of Salvia miltiorrhiza (redroot sage), 762 nucleotides long. RefSeq lists it as uncharacterized. The record is from RefSeq and is a predicted model, not a curated record. The transcript is spliced from 3 exons. NCBI's taxonomy places the organism in Eukaryota, Viridiplantae, Streptophyta, Magnoliopsida, Lamiales, Lamiaceae.